AUACUUACCUGGCAGGGGUGACUCCAUGAUCAAGCCAUUGCACUCCGGCACUCUGACCUCUAUGAAUUCUCCACAUGUGAGAAUCGCAACUGCACAAUUUCUGCUCGUGGGGACUGCGUUCGCGCUCUCCCCUU
Molecule: small nuclear RNA, 134 nt
Filed under: Sinocyclocheilus grahami
Lineage: Eukaryota; Metazoa; Chordata; Actinopteri; Cypriniformes; Cyprinidae
Description: U1 spliceosomal RNA (ENSSGRG00000033281.1)
Rfam family: U1 spliceosomal RNA
About the family: U1 is a small nuclear RNA (snRNA) component of the spliceosome (involved in pre-mRNA splicing). Its 5' end forms complementary base pairs with the 5' splice junction, thus defining the 5' donor site of an intron.
Source: Rfam by way of RNAcentral